This is a long non-coding RNA of Manacus vitellinus (golden-collared manakin), 1744 nucleotides long. NCBI's taxonomy places the organism in Eukaryota, Metazoa, Chordata, Aves, Passeriformes, Pipridae. The record is from Ensembl.
GCGGCAGCGAACGCGCCGGGCUCCCCCGGCGGGGCCCAGGGAUGGCCUCGGCCAUCCACCCCUACCCCUCUCCACCUCUCCUUCCUCCCCUCCUUUCCUUCCCCCGGACCUCCCUCUUCCCUCCUCCUCUCUUCCCCCGAGCCGCUCUCCCCCCACCCCCCCCCCUCCUGCCUGCCCGGCCCUUCCCCGCUGCCCAACCCGAACCCCCCUUCUCUUCCCUCUCUAUUGCCCCUCUCAGUUUCCCUCUAUUCCCUCUCAAUUCCCCCUCGAUUUCCCAUCUUUUCCCUCUCAGUUCUCCUAUUCCCUCUCAGUUCUCCCUCGAUUUCCCAUCUUUUCCCCCUCAGUUCUCCCUCUAUUCCCUCUCAGUUCUCCCUCUAUUCCCUCUCAUUUCUCCCUCUAUUCCCUCUCAGUUCUCCUUCUAUUCCCUCUCAAUUCCCCCUCGAUUUCCCAUCUUUUCCCUCUCAGUUCUUCCUCUAUUCCUUCUCAGUUCUCCUAUUCCCUCUCCAUUCCCUCUUCAUUUCCCAUCUUUUCCCUCUCAGAUCUCCUUCUAUUCCCUCUCAAUUCCCCAUUGAUUUCCUUUCCCUCUCACUUCUCCCUCUAUUCCCUCUCAGGUCUCCUCCUAUUCCCUCUCAGUUCUUCUUCUAUUCCCUCUCAAUUCCCCCUCUAUUUCCCAUCUUUUCCCUCGCAGUUCUCCCUCGAUUUCCCAUCUUUUCCCUUUCAGUUCUCCUUCUAUUCCCUCUCGGUUCUCCUUCUAUUCCCUCUCAGAUCUCCUUCUAUUGCCUCUCAGUUCUUCUAUUCUCUCUCAUUUCACCCUCGAUUUCCCAUCUUUUCCCUCUCACUUCUCCUUCUGCUCCCUCUCAAUUCUUCCUCUGUUUCCCAUCUUUUCCCUCUCAGUUCUCUCUUUCUUCCCUCUCAGUUCUCCUUCUAUUCCCUCUCAAUUCCCCCUCUCUUUCCCUUCUUUUCCCUCUCAGAUUCCCCUCUAUUUCCCGUCUGUUCCCCCUCUUGAUUCUCCCUCUAAAUCCCCCCCCGUAUUCCCCCUCUAUUUCUCAUCUUUUCCCUCUCAGUUCUCCCUCGAUUUCCCAUCUUUUCCCUCUCAUUUCUCCUUCUAUUCCCUCUCACUUCUCCUUCUAUUCCUUCUCAAUUCUCCCUUGAUUUCCCAUCUUUCCCCUCUCACUUCUCCUUCUAUUCCCUCUCAGUUCUUCUUCUCCCUCUCAAUUCCCCCUCGAUUUCCCAUCUUUUCCCUCUCACUUCUCCCUCUAUUCCCUCUCAGUUCUCCUUCUGUUCCCCCUCAAUUCUCUCUUGAUUUCCCAUCUUUUCCCUCUCAAUUCUCCCUUGAUUACCCAUCUUUUCCCUCUUAUUUCUUCCUCUAUUCCCUCUCAGUUCUCCUUCUAUUCCCUCUCAAUUCCCCCUCUGUUUCCCACUUUUUCCCUCUCAAUUCCCCCUCUCUUUCCCAUCUUUUCCCUCUCAGUUCCCCCUCCAUUUCCCAUCUUUCCCCUCUCAGUUCCCCCUCUGUUUCCCAUCCCCGUGUCCCUCGCUGUCCCCUCUGUCCCCCCCUGGCCCCCGGGCCGUGUCCCCGCAGCCGCGGGCUUGGGGGCGCCGGUUUGAAUAAAGCCGCGCAGGCCGGACCCGGCGCCCCCCCUGGAUCCCCCUUUCCACGGGGCCGGGCCCGCUCGGCGGGUCCCCCCCUUCAGUGUCCAAGCACCGCCCGACACCGCCGGGGCUCCGGCCCGUCCCGACAUCACAC